Molecule: unclassified non-coding RNA, 379 nt
Filed under: uncultured fungus
Lineage: Eukaryota; Fungi
Description: partial contains 5.8S ribosomal RNA and internal transcribed spacer 2
Rfam family: 5.8S ribosomal RNA (bases 1-133)
Source: RNAcentral
UGGCUCUCGCAUCGAUGAAGAACGCAGCGAAAUGCGAUAAGUAAUGUGAAUUGCAGAAUUCAGUGAAUCAUCGAAUCUUUGAACGCAUCUUGCGCCCUUUGGUAUUCCGAAGGGCAUGCCUGUUUGAGUGUCAUUAAAUUAUCAACCAUAACCAAUUGAUUUUGGUUUUUGGCUUGGAAGUGGGGGUUUUUGCCGGCUUUCACAAGUCAGCUCCUCUUAAAUGCAUUAGCGGUUUCUACACUUUGAAUGGUGUUGGUGUGAUAUUCUAUCUACUCCAAAGUAAAUCCAAUCAAGUAUCUAUUAAACUGCUUCUAACCGUCCUUUACCGGGACAAUGUAAUGACAAAUUUGGCCUCAAAUCAGGUAGGACUACCCGCUGA